GCGGUGGUAGUAUAGUGGCCUAGUAUUCGGCGUUGCCAACGCUGUGACCCGGGUUCAAAAGCCAGUUACACUGAGAUUACAUGUAAUAGCAUGAAUGUCCCGGCCACCGCA
This 111-nucleotide transfer RNA is filed under the name Nanobdellota archaeon. RNAcentral's name for it is "tRNA-Gly". The record is from RNAcentral. Lineage: Archaea; Nanobdellati; Nanobdellota.